GUGGGGAAUAUUCCGCAAUGGACGAAAGUCUGACGGAGCAACGCCGCGUGAGUGAUGAAGGUUUUCGGACUGUAAAGCUCUGUUGUUUAGGACGAAAGUGCCUGUUGCAAAUAGUUACAGGUAUUGACGGUACUGAACGAGGAAGCCACGGCUAACUACGUGCCAGCAGCCGCGGUAAUACGUAGGUGGCAAGCGUUGUCCGGAAUUAUUGGGCGUAAAGAGCAUGUAGGCGGGAAUCUAAGUCUGUUGUGAAAAUGCGGGGCUCAACCCCGUAUUGCGAUGGAAACUGGGUUUCUUGAGUGCAGGAGAGGAAAGGGGAAUUCCCAGUGUAGUGGUGAAAUGCGUAGAUAUUGGGAGGAACACCAGUGGCGAAGGCGCCUUUCUGGACUGUGUCUGACGCUGAGAUGCGAAAGCCAGGGUAGCGAACGGGAUUAGAUACCCCAGUAGUCC
This 450-nucleotide ribosomal RNA is filed under the name uncultured bacterium. RNAcentral describes it as "partial 16S ribosomal RNA". It matches the Rfam family "Bacterial small subunit ribosomal RNA", at positions 354 to 796 of the family's 1533-position model. The record is from RNAcentral.